CAGAUAAUAGUUUAAUUAAAAAUAUUAAUUUUGGAAAUUAAUGAUAUUAUUUAUUAAUUUAUCUGA
Molecule: transfer RNA, 66 nt
Filed under: Ammothea hilgendorfi
Lineage: Eukaryota; Metazoa; Arthropoda; Pycnogonida; Pantopoda; Ammotheidae
Description: tRNA-Pro
Source: RNAcentral